CUACGGGAGGCAGCAGUGGGGAAUUUUACGCAAUGGGGGAAACCCUGACGUAGCGACACCGCGUGAACGAAGAAGCCUUUUGGGGUGUAAAGUUCUGUCAGCAGGGACGAAAAAAAUGACGGUACCUGCAGAGGAAGCAUCGGCUAACUACGUGCCAGCAGCCGCGGUAAGACGUAGGAUGCAAGCGUUGUCCGGAUUUAUUGGGCGUAAAGAGUUCGUAGGUGGUUUGUUAAGUCUGAUGUUAAAGACUGGGGCUCAACCUCGGAAAUGCAUUGGAUACUGGCAGACUCGAGUGCAGUAGAGGCAAGUGGAAUUCCAGGUGUAGCGGUGAAAUGCGUAGAUAUCUGGAAGAACACCGGUGGCGCAAGCGACUUGCUGGGCUGUAACUGACGCUGAGGAACGAAAGCUAGGGGAGCAAAUGGGAUUAGAUACCCCAGUAGUCCUAGCCGUAAACGAUGGAUACUAGGCGUAUCGGGUAUCGACCCCUGAUGUGCCGUAGCUAACGCGAUAAGUAUCCCGCCUGAGUAGUACGGCCGCAAGGUUGAAACUCAAAGGAAAUUGACGG
Molecule: ribosomal RNA, 565 nt
Filed under: uncultured bacterium
Lineage: Bacteria
Description: bacterial SSU rRNA
Rfam family: Bacterial small subunit ribosomal RNA
Source: RNAcentral